RNAcentral lists this ribosomal RNA (440 nucleotides) under uncultured bacterium. RNAcentral's name for it is "partial 16S ribosomal RNA". It matches the Rfam family "Bacterial small subunit ribosomal RNA", at positions 338 to 795 of the family's 1533-position model. The record is from RNAcentral.
CCUACGGGUGGCAGCAGUAGGGAAUAUUGCUCAAUGGGGGAAACCCUGAAGCAGCAACGCCGCGUGGAGGAUGACGGUUUUCUGGGUGUAAACUCCUUUUUUUAGAGAAGAUAAUGACGGUAUCUAACGAAUAAUCCCCGGCUCACUCCGUGCCAGCCGCCGCGGUAAUACGGAGGGUGCAAGCGUUACUCGGAAUCACUGGGCGUAAGGCGCGCGUAGGCGGGUGAGCAAGUCAGAUGUGAAAUCCUAUGGCUUAACCAUAGAACUGCCUUUGAAACUGUUAUUCUAGAGUAUGGGAGAGGUAGGUGGAAUGCGUGGUGUAGGGGUAAAAUCCGUAGAGAUCAAGAGGAAUACUCAUUGCGAAGGCGACCUGCUAGAACAUAACUGACGCUGAUGCGCGAAAGCGUGGGGAGCAAACAGGAUUAGAUACCCCAGUAGUC